UGUUGGUGCAGCAGGCAGUACAGCAACAGCAACAAAUCACACACCAGCAGAAAGCAGCAACAUCAGGCUUUGAGCGCCAGCAAACAACAAUUAAACAAGCGAAAAUUGCAGCAACAAACAAACGAAAUGAGUUCGCUAAACGGAAAAUUCAUUUGCGCAUAUGGAAUGCUGCACACAUAGAUAUAUACAUAUAUAGCCCCGCAUACAAGCAUAUAUAUAUAGAUAUAUACGUAUAUGUUAUACACACACAAAUCUACAUAAAAUCUAAGUGCAAACCAAUUGUGAUUUAAGCUAAUGACCACAACCGCAAAACAGCUCCAACAACCAACAAGAAAGUGUAUAAAAAAUUUUUCAAGUUUUUUAAGUAUAUGAAAUUCAACCAAAGCCUUGUAAAUAGCCAACAAAAUAACUAAAGAACAAGAACUCUUUUCUUAUUAAAAACAAAACAACAACAGCAAAUAAAACCAAAUUAAUUAACUCAACUAAGGAAAGCCAUAAACAACAAACAACGAACGAAUAGACAACGCCGUUUACACCGCAACCUGAUAGAGAAAUGCAUUGCUAAACAGCUGGGGGCUACUAACUCCCUUUCAACCGAGUGGCCUGCAAUUCGAAACGAUCUCAACGCAAAAAUGGCACAGCAACGCACUGGGCAGCAACAGCAACAAAGGACGAAACUAACUCGACACGGGCUGCAGCAACAACAACAGCAAUUAGAAACAACAACAAAGGCCCGGCAACGAUAUAGAGCGGUGGGAAAAUGAAACAAAAACCAGAAACGAGUUUUCCACUCAAAUUUGCAUUCAGCCAAAGAAAUACAAAGGUCUAAGCAAGGAGGAAGGAACCGACACAAACCAACAAACCAACAAACAAACGCAGCACAAUAAGAAAGUCGCCAGUGAAAAGGGGUCAGAGGGCAUACACACGCACACAGACACACACAAAAAUACAACACACAGGAGCAGACCGCAACACAAAUACAAGCAUAAGGAGAGCAUAAAACACAAAACACAUUCAACACACGGACACAGAAGGACGAAGAGUGCAUUGUGAACAAUUUUCAACGAAUUUCCAAAAGUCUACAAAGUAAAAUAACUAACAAGCGUUCAUUACGAAUAACAAAGGAAACCAUAAUAUUUGAAAUUUGCUCUGUGAUUUUCUAUCGGAAAUGGUUUAGUAAUCCAAAUAAUAAUAAUAAUAAUACUAUUUAAUAACAACGUAUUUAUAAAUACUGCAAAACUGCAUUCCAAACCAUAGAAAAGUUUAUCAAAUCCCCCAAGAAAAGCUUUAAACUCAAUCGAAAACGUAAAUCAACAAUUUCUAUAAAUAUUAUCAAGCAAAGUUUAUUACACUGCGACUAAUUAGACCAGCUAACGCUACUCGAAAACAUAAUUCGACCACAACCACAAUUCCACCAAAGGACAUCGCCACACCGGAGCCAUGGACGAAAUGCCCGACCUGUCGCACCUCACGCCCCACGAGCGGAUGCAGAUCGAGAAUGUCCUUAUGCGGCAGAAGCAGGAGGAGGAGAAGCAGAACGAGAUCAUGCGGCGCAAACAGGACGAGGUGGUGACGCUGGAAAUGCAAAUCAGACAGCGAUCCGAGCAGCAGAAGAAGGCCGGCGUCGAGCUGGAUGCCACCUGUCACAUAUGCCUUAAGACCAAGUUCGCCGAUGGAGUGGGCCACAUCUGCCACUACUGCAACAUACGCUGCUGCGCCCGGUGCGGCGGCAAGGUGACGCUGCGCAGCAACAAGGUCAUUUGGGUGUGCAUACUGUGUCGCAAGAAGCAGGAGCUGCUCUCCAAGACUGGCCAGUGGAUCAACAAGACGGCGGCACAACAAGAUGGUUUCAUCCGACGCAUCGAGCCGGAUGGGAGCAGCGACAUUUCGCAGCAUCCCAUCGUGGAUCCGCACGACACCACGGACAAGCGGCCCAAGCUGGAGAGGACGCGGAGUGCCGCCGAGAAGGAGAACCUACCGAUGCAGCGGGCGGGCAGCAUGCUGAGGCGUCAGUACUCGCAGCAGGAGCAGCCCACGAAUCGUCGCCUCUCCGCGUCCGACAGCGGAAUGGAUCCCGUGAUGAGUCCUGGCCAGCAGAUGCAGCACCAUCAGCAGCAGCAGCGAGCUCGGAUGCAGCCGAUGAAUCCGCAGCAGGGGCAGCAGGGAUACGGCAUGCAGCAGCAGCAACAACCCAGAUCAGGUGGCGCCUAUCCCGAUGAUGACCCCAGAUACUAUCAGGGUGAACUCGAUGGCCUGAUGAGGCAGCAUCCCCACUUGGCGCAUCCCAGUCAGGUACAGCCACAGCAUCCGCCGCAGUCGCACUCGCAACAGCAACAAUCUCAGCACCAGCAGCAACAUCUUAUGCCGCAGCAACAUCGCCCAUCGCCGCAGCAACAUUCCCAGCAGCAGCAGCAGCAACACUCGCAGCAAUUCGCGGCCAGGCAGCAGCAGCAGCAACAGCAUCAGCAGCAGGUGCAACAAUCGUACCACGCGCAGAUCCACCAGCAGCCGCAGCAACAUCCGCAUCCCCACUCGCAACAGCAGCAGCAGCAACAUCAGCAGAUGCAGCAGCAGCAUGGCCAGCCAGUGCCGCAGAUGGGCGGCUACCAGAAGCCGCCACCUCUGACCCGCAACCUGACCAUCAGCGGUGGUCAUGCGAUGGACUCCAGUGCCUACAGCCAGCAACAGCAGCAGCAGCAGCAGAGGCGCGCUCUCGCAGGAUCGCAGUACGCCUCGCAGCAACAGAGGUCCUUCAGCAGCUCCGAGGAGGAGUUCCAGCACCAGCUGUUGGCCGCCCAGGGCGCGGUGACGGUGACCGCGGGAUCGGACUAUGACGGCGGGCGCCUCCAGGUGCGCACCUCAUUGGAUCCGUGGCGCCAGCAGCGCAGCCUCAACGAACGGGAUCUGCUCAGCAGCGGUGGUGGUGGUGGCGUCGGUGGUGCUGACUUCCGCCACCUGUCGCACGCCACCCAGCGGCUGUACGCCUCCGCCGAUCAGCGGGAUCGCUACGAGCUGCAGCUGCAGCACCGCGAGCGCCUGGAGCAGUAUCCUCUCACGCGCACCGCUCGCCUGGACGUCCAGCAGCGCAACUCGCUGAACCGCAGCAACCACGAGCGGCAGUUCUCCGGCGGCGGAGCAGGCGUAGGGCCAGGAGGAGCGGGUGGUGGUGGUGCUGCUGGCGCCUACCGACGUGCCCCGCCCUUGGCAGCCGCCGGCGGCGGUGGCAGCAGCAGCAGCAGCACCACUAGCAGCAGCUACUAUCCCCAAUCGAAGCCGCAGAUUGUGAUUGGUCCGGGAUCGGGCUACGAUCGGGGAUCGGGAUCCAUGGCUUCCAUGGCAUCGGCAGCGGCGGCAACAGCGGCGGAUGCCCAGGGUCAGGCGGCGCGGAAUAGCCAGCGUGGUGGUCUGCUGGGCGCCACGAGAGGCGGCGGUGGCAGCAGUUCCGUCAGUUCCACGGAGGCUGCCUACUGGGACGAACCGGCCACCAGUUCCUCCUCAUCUGCGGCCCAAGAUUCGCGGCGUUUCACCGAGCGUAGAAUAAAGAAGACGGUGCGUUUCGAUGCCCACGACGAAGAGGCCUCCAUAUUGGCCAGCAGUUCACUGCCCCCAGUCACGGCCAUCCUGCCCUCCACGGCUGUGGAUGUGGGUGCAGCCACCAUAUUGAGCAGUGGAAAGAGCCUGGAUGCCGGCGGAGUUGGUGGAGCUGACUGGUCGCGAUGGGAGGCCGAGCGACAGGGUAGCCAGGACUCGGCCACCAAGGACUCGGGCAUCGAUACCAGCAGCACGUUCACCAGCAGCGAGGACUCAAAUCGAGGAGAUGGGCCCAAGAAUCCGGUGAAUUGGCAAACAUCCGCGGACAAUACUCGCCUGAUCGGGCACAUGAUAUUGCGUAAAUACUAUGAUGGGGAGGAUAUAUUAGGCUUAAAGGUCAACGGCGGUCAGCCCCUCGCAACGGGUGGAUCGGGAUCGGGAGCGGGAACGGGAGCAGCGGUAGGAGCAGGAGGUCCAUGCGGGGCCAUUGUGGAGAAGGUGAAGCGCGGAUCGGUGGCCGAUCUCGAGGGAAGGAUUCGACCAGGCGACGAGAUCCUCGAGUGGAAUGGCCGCGGCCUGCACAACAAGAGUGCCGACGAGGUCUACGACAUCAUCGACGAGAGUCGCCUGGACGCCCAGGUGGAACUGAUCGUCAGCCGGCCGAUCGGCAGCGGCGGCGGCAGUGGCGGCAGCAGCACCAACGUCAGUCCCAUCAGCGGAGCCUCCGGCGGAUCCGCCAACAGUGUGCCCGCUCGCCGCUCCUCGGCCAACUUCCCGCACAGCGGGUUGGCGAGCAGCAUGGCCGGCAGUGCGGUGGUCAGCAGCGGGGGAAGAUAUCUGCAGCGCAAAGCUCCCGCGGUCGAGGCCAUUGAAAUCCAUCGGGACAAGCCGAGCGUGCUAAUCACCUCGCCCGGCUCGCCGGACAUCCACACCAGUGUAUCCGGACCGGGAUCGGUAUCAGGAUCAGGACUCCGGCAACGUGGCGGCGUCGGGCAGACGCAGCGCCUGGGACCAAGCCACAGUACCCACAGCCACAGCAGCAGCGGGAGUGGCAGCGGCAGCGGCAGCAGCACCAGCAGCGUCCACGCCCCCGCCUCCGCCCACGGCCCCGUCCACGCGUCGGCGUCCGCUUCCGGUUCCGCCCCUGGCGGCCUGCACGGCACAACGACGGCGGGCCACCAUCACCACCCGCACCCGCACCACUACCACCCGCACCAGCAUCCGCUUCCGCAUCCGCACCAGCACCAGGGUCCGCCCGCCGCCCACCUGCAAGGCCACGGGGUGGGCGGUGGCAUCGGCAUGGGCAGCGGCUCCGGCACCACCACACAGCCCAUCCCCAUCGAGGGGCGGCUGCAGCUGAAGCUCGGCUACGACCAGAACACCCUGCAGCUGAUCGUGACCCUGGUCUGCGCCACCGGACUCUCCCUGCGCCAGAGCGGAGCGGGCCGCAAUCCAUAUGCAAAAGUGUUCCUUCUGCCCGAUCGAAGCCACAAAUCCAAGCGGCGAACGAAGACGGUGGGCACCACCUGCGAGCCCCGAUGGGGCCAGACCUUUGUCUACUCGGGUCUGAGACGCUGCGACCUCAACGGCCGACUGCUCGAGGUGACGCUGUGGGACUAUGUGCGGUACGGGGCCAACGACUUUAUCGGCGAGGUGGUCAUCGAUCUGGCGCACCACAUCCUGGACGACGAGGCCGAGUGGUAUCAGCUGCAGCCCCACCAGGACACCUCCUAUCUCUUACGUGACGAGGGCAGCGAUGUGGACGGCCUGAUACUGACACCGACAGAUCAUUUAUCACCGCCGAGCACCAUGUCGCGCCUUAGUGAUUCGGACACCACGUCCGACUGCGACAUCGAUGGAAUGACUCCGGGGGCCAGCAUCUCGUCCAUGGGCAGCUCAGCGAGUCCGCCGCCCCUGCUAGAGCUCGAUCUAAACGAGCGUCGGUCCCGACGUGACAUGUCGCCCCAGGGCCGCAAACGGGUGGCCGGGAUGGUGGCCCGCGACUACCGCACUGUAUCUGGCAUUGGACAAAGUUACCACAAUCAGGCCUCUGCCACCGGCUACUAUCGUCGCGGAGGUGGUAAUGGUGUCGGCUCCGCCAUCGGUCCCGGUGGCAUGAGCCUCAGCCAGCGGAGUCACUCGGCGGCACCCAGCGACGGUUACCACAGCAGCGGAGUAGGAGGAGCGCCCUCCGGCGGACCCGCCUACGGCUAUCGGAGCACCAGUCCCCGACGGGGCUCCUUGUCGCCACCCGACGACCGCUACAUAGACUAUCCAGUGCUUCCAGUACACGGCUCCUCGCCCAACGCCCCAUCGGUCUACCAGGGACCGGGUGGUGCGUCCUCAGCGGCGGCGUCUGCUUCGCAGCAGCAGCGAUUCCAGUCGCGAUCGGCCACAGCCACGCCCACGGGAUCCCCAAAGAAGAGGCAGCUACCACAGGUGCCGCAGACCUCCCGCAGUGCGAUGCUGCGAGAUCGACUGGGUCAGGACUUCGACGAGCGGUUGGCCUCGGGUGGUCGCUUCGGGCGGCACCGCACACGGCAGCCGCACCACCAGGCCACCUACCGCAGCACCGGAAUGGGCGGAUGGGAGCGCCACUACACGGGACUGUCCGACAGCGACCUGCACUCUAUGGACGCGCGGAUGCGACCAAGACACUCCCUGUCGCCGGACAAGGACUUUAUGGGCGAGUUCGGCGACUCGGACAUGGAGUCGGUGGUCAGCGUGACCUCCAGCGCCUUCUCCACGCAGUCGGAGCGACCGCGCACGUCGCGCGGACUCAGCUUCCCCCGCAACUGGCGCAAUCUCUUUGGCGUCCGCAACAGCUUCCUCGGGGGAGCAGGAGGCGAACCCAUUACCGGACUGCGGCUGCACCACUCGGAGCCCGGAAGGGCCAACACCAUCGAAGUGGAUGACUGCGACUAUCUGCCGGUGGGCGGUGCCCAGCAGUUGGUGUUGCUGGAGCAGCUGGAGCAACUGCAGCAGCUGGCCGCUCUGGCGGCAGCAGAUUCCCCACCCAUUUCGGCGGGAAUUGGAAUACAGCCACCUCAUCAGGUCUUGGUUACCGAUGCCAAUAGCGGCCAGUUGGUGGAACAAUUCUACGUUGAGCCCGGCACAAUGGCCGAGGAGAUGAUGGAGCCACUCGAUCCCCAUUUACAUCCACAUUCCGUCUUCUACUCGCCAUCGCCCCAUUUGCCACCACAGCCAUUCGACAUCGAUAUCGAUAACAUUUAUCCACCACGACGGUCCAACGGACUGAAACCGAACGUACAAGCCACCGCCGCUGCCUAUCCGCUGCCGCUGCUGCCGAGCUUUGAGCAAUUCAAGCGCAUUACCACGCCCAUCACGAAUUUCUUCCGCAGCUCCUCGCCCGCGGGCGUCCACCCCCACGCCCACGACCACACCUCCACGACGCCCAGUUCGCUGGUGGGCUAUGUACGCGACCACCAGGACAAGAGCUGCAGUCACUGCCAGAAUGGAAGUCAGCCGGUGGUGCUGUCGACGCACCACACCCUUCACUUGACCGCCGCCGGUCUGGCAAUCGGCGCUUGCCAGGAUCCCUGCUGUCUGGCGGAUGCCCAUCCGCACCCACAGCAUCAGCCGAUGGGCUACGGGGAGCCACCCACUUCGGAUCCUGCGAUGUGCGGCGAGUGUGUGGAUCAGCACUUUCUGGGUGGAUUAACGGGACCGCAACUGAAUCUUGGUGUGGUUCCCACUUACCAUGUUCACACGCCCACUCCAAAUGCGCAUCGGCGUGCCAGGGGACAAAUGGCCACUCCUGCACCUCCGCCCACGCAAUCGGUGCUGCGUCUGUCUCGCCAAUUGAGCGAAGAUGCCCUAGUGGCAGCCGUUCCCAUUUCGGAAGCCAAGGCGCAACCAACUUCGAUCCUGAAGAAACCGAAGCUGGAGCGAAGGAGACUCUUUCACGAGGGACAAUCCCGGUCGCUAGACUACGAUGAUCUGCACACGAAGAGCUGGGGUCGCCGUCGAAUUCGAUACGAGGACGAGGUGAUGCCUUCGUCUGGAGACUAUCCUUAUCCCCAUUCGAAUCCGUAUGCCAGCUACUCACCCACGGCGGCAAUGUCGCGACGCUACGGAUCGGAGACCAAUAUUCGGCAGAGUUAUAUGGGUGCAAAUGUGGAUGCCAACCAUCCGCUGAGUCACUCGCAUUUCCUGGUAACGGAUGACAAGAUAGUGACCAUUACCUACGACUCGGAUGUGGGCUGGACGCGACGGGGCGUGGCUCCGUCCCUCUUUCGCGGAGCGCACCGACAACGUGGACUGGCGGAUCCCAGGAACCACAUGUCGCUAGAUUUGCAGCGAACCAGUCAACAAAAGCUAUACGGACCGGCGGCACCGUAUUUGAAGCGCCGAAGGAAUUUGCCGCAUCCGCCCAGUGCGCAGAAUGCCCACAACUUUUCACCAAUGGAGCCGGGAUCGGGAAUGGAUGGGCUGAAUGCUGCGGCAGCGGGAAUGGUGGAACAGGGCAACGGAAUGGGUAGCGGUGGUGCACACAACACUACCAGUACACACAAUAGCAACCACCACACCAACCACCACAAUAGCCAAGCGAGUAGUGUUAGUGUUAGCCAAAGUCACAAUCAACAACUUCAACAACAACAACAAUUACAACAACAAUCAGUUAGGCAAAAAGGGAAAGAAGGCACCACCGCCAUUAGCGGAUCGAUGAUGGCAUCGGAGCAGCUGACGAAAUCUAGUAGUGGGAGCGGUGGUGCAACAUCUGCUGCCGCUGCUGGGCAUCUUGUCGUCGGUGGUACUAAUGCUAAUAAUGCUUCUUCUUCCUCUUUUGCAAAUCCCCAACCACCACCACCACAACAACAACAACAACUUCAUGGAUCACCCAACAAUCUCAACAACAAUAACAAACGUGCCCCAUCAUCAACACCACAACAAAACACGAACACCAUAAAUGACGCCAACAACCUGACGCUCGACGCCACACAACAACAAUCACAACAACAACAACAACUACAACAACCACCAAAUACAUGCACAAAUCAAAACACGAAUCCAACAACCACAUUAACAACAACAACCACAACAUCGUCGAAUGCAACGAAUGCGGCGACAACGACAACCGCAAAUGCAACAAAUGCUACAACAACUGCCACAAAUCCAAAAACAACAACAACGAAUAACACGAACGAACCAAACGCAACAACAACAACCACAACAACGAACGCUAAUGCUGACGCGGAUGCUGACGCGGACGCUGAUGCUCCGCUGGACGCCAUCGACUGGGAUGCCAUCGAUGCUAUGCUGGACGACGACUUUAGCGAGUACGACAAGGACAAGAACGGCGCCGAAGAGGCUGGUGGCUCCAAGUCAGCGGAGGGUGCAGGUGCCGAAGAUAAAGUCGAUGGCAGCCUCUCGGACACCGCGAACGAUCGGAAGAAGGGCGGCGGCGUCGACCAGGAGCGAUCCCCGAAAGGAGGCAGCGGCAUGGGCAAGAAGUCCAACUCCACGUCGCAGCUUUCGGCCACAGGUCGUAAAAGACGUAUGGGCUUUGGAAAGAAGGGUAAGAACUCGUUCACGGUGCACCGCAGCGAAGAAGUGCUGCCCGGCGAUAUAACGCGGGAACUGCGAACCGGUGGCGGAUUGGGCGUCAGUCUCGGCGGUGCCGGUGGUGCCGCCGGUGGGUCAGGUGGCGCCGGCGGGGGCGGCCUGUCCCGCGGCUCGUCCUCGGAGGCGGACGCCAUCGAGCAGUUCUUCGGCGAUGGUGCCGGCGGGGAAAGAUUCUCCCCUUCGUUGCGCAACGAUGGAGCCCUCAAUGAGUUCGUGGAUGGCCUGGGACCUGGUCAACUGGUUGGUCGCCAGGUGCUGGGAGCUCCUUCGCUGGGCGAUAUCCAGCUAUCGCUGUGCCACCAAAAAGGCUGUCUGGAGGUGGAGGUCAUACGGGCCAGGGGCUUACAGCAAAAAGCCCAGUCAAAAAUGCUGCCUGCUCCGUAUGUAAAGGUGUACCUAGUGUCGGGAAAGCGCUGUGUGGACAAGAUGAAGACUUCCUCGGCUCGACGCACCCUGGAUCCACUGUACCAGCAGCAGUUGGUUUUCAAGCAGUCCUACACCGGUUGCAUACUACAGAUUACCGUGUGGGGCGACUAUGGCCGCAUCGAGAAGAAGGUGUUUAUGGGCGUGGCGCAGAUAAUGCUCGACGAUCUGAAUCUGUCGAAUAUCGUGAUCGGCUGGUACAAGCUCUUUGGCACCACCUCACUGGUCAGUUGUCCCACUAAUAUAGGCUUAGGCUCUAGGCGCUCAUCCAUAGCCUCACUCGACUCACUCAAACUCUAGAUCUAAACUAAACUGAAACUCGACUAAAAACCAGAUUAUUUCAAACUCAAAUCGUACAAGAAUACAAAAACAAAGUAUAAUAGAAAUUUCGCAAAUCGCAAAUUUGAUAAACAAAAAAAAAAACACUUGCAUAUAUUUAUAUAAGUCAACACACAGAACAUAUAUUUAUAUAGUACUUAGCUCAACGUUUUGUUCAUAGCAAGUUACCAAGAACAAAAGUUAUUUAAAUUUGUAGCGUAAUCAGUCUUAAAACACCUGUAAAAAGAAAUCCCAAGCUCAAAAGAUCAGUUCAACGGUCCAGCCAACCAAUUUGAAAUUAAACCGAUACUAUACUGAACAUCAAAGCAUUUGUUGUUUUUAGUUAGCAAUAUACAAUAUACAUACGCACUCCUGUAAAUGAAAAGCUUAUUAAACUCACGGAAACUCACAAGAACACUACUCCCAUGAGGCAAAGUAGAAUGAACCAAUUCGCAUUGUGUACUGAAACUGAAACAUUGAAUGGAGAGUUGAUCGAAAGCAAACCAAUCAAAAAUACCAAACUGCAAUACCAAAUUAAUACGAAAAUAACCUUUCGCAAGUCACCAUAAAUCACCGUUACCGUUAAAGUUACCGUUACUUCAACGUAGUUUUCACAUAGACUCGUAUAAUACUCAUAUAGUAACCAUUCGCCAGUGCUGUCAGCCCGGCAGCCAAAUAGCAAAGGACCAAAGGACAUCCUGCAGCGGCGGAUCCCAGAGGAAGACGCCCGAUCCUCAUUCGGCAGGUCGCUGGCCUAAGCUAAGUCCACAUCUGUUGUUUUUCUAUUCUACGGCGGCGGAAGACUUUGGAGGAAUACAAAAUAUAAAACAAAGAGAAAUAUCUAAUUUUUAUAAGUCAUGAAAACAAAUGCAUUUAAAAGAACCGAGAACCGAGAAACGAGAACACAAGAGCAGAGCAGUGCAGUAAAAUGUUUAAAGACGUAACUACGGAAUACAGCUAAAUGAUAAAUGUAAAGGCAGUCUAUAUAUACAUAUACACAUAUAUAACGGAUAACAUUUGACAAACGGAUACUUGUAAAUUAUGCAUAUUUAAAAUAAUUUUUAUUACACACCUAAGAUCACUAUUAUUUUCGUAAUACGAUUACUACGAUUAUUAUUACUUAAACUAUUACUGAUAAAAGCAUAAAAAACCAACAAAAAAAAAAACAAAGAACAAGGAGAAGGAGAAGGUGGAUAAAGUUCAAGUGCUAGUGUCAGUCAUGCCUAAGCCUUAGCCUGAGCAGAGACGCAGAAGGAUAUAAAUUGUUUAUUGAAUAAAUAGCUAAAUCUAAAUCAGUAAAGGGAGUUAUAGAUUUUCAGAGACGGGAGUUAUUUAAGUAUAUAUACAUACAUAUAUAAAUCGAUAUAUACAUAAAUAUAUUUACUGUUUAAGCAAGCAAAGAACCACUAACACUUAAAUAAGCCUAACUUACGAUAAAACCGAUAAAGUUAAAGCUUAAGAUUAGGUAACUAAAGAGAAGGGACAUGAGAUAUGUAUUAAUCGAACAAAAAGAACAACAAAUAUUUACCAAGCCAGAAAGACGAGAAAGUUUAACUUAAUAAUGCAAAAUCUGAACCUAAGCUGUACAUAGGAGAUCCACACACGUUACAUAUACACCACAUCCGGAUAUCCGACUACCAACUACCGCUUCCCCGAUUAUAGGCUAUAUAGCUUUUGGUUAGCUCUGCGCCACCUUGAAAAACUACGCAGUCACCCCAAAAUGCGUGAGUUUUUGACGUCGGCGAUGAGGCAGAAUACAUAUUUGAGGCAGAAAGUAUCGUUUAAUUUAACUUAGAGCAAUGGAAGGCUUUUUCUCUAUAUGAAUAAACUAUAUCGCGAUUUUGUUGUAGCUCCACUCGCUUCACUAGUCGCUUUAGCAUCCUUUUGCCGCCUUGGUUCCAAUCAACUUGCCUCGAAAACGCAUCAAGUACCUUCAAGUUAAUAGUGUGAGCUGUAAAAAUCGUUACCUGCUUGCCAAAAAGACACACGUACACGUACAUACAUUAGCGUAUUUAUAUUUAUGGAAAAUGGAAAAGUGUAACGGAAUACCAAAAAUAGUUUGCAAUUUACUGCGAGUUCAUUUCAGAUAUUUUUUUGGCAUUCUUUUGGGCAACAUUUUGCAAUGCAUUCCUUGGGAGAAGCAAACAUAUCACUGGCCUGCAGACAGAUGAUGGAUGGGAGCAGUUAACUUUUAUAAAUACAAAUUAGGUCAUAGGGCAGAGUGCAGAGGGAUAACUAUGGAGGAUUAUGAGACACCUAGCUAUUGUUCCUAUCCAGUUGUUUAGUGCUCGUUUUUUUGCUUUCACUCAUGGCUACAGAUAUUGAGUUGAACCUUUCCGUCCAUUCAUUCAGAUACACACAGCUAGCUAUACAUAGACACAGUUGCAACUACAGAUACAGAUACCGACACAGAUACAGAUACAGAUUGAGGUAAAGUUAAAUAAUAUAUUGACAUGUGCAUAUCCAUCCAAGCAGCAGCUUCCUAUAUCAGAACUAAACAACUUAGAGAUACGUAAUGAAAUGCCGAAACACAGGGACAAUGCAUUCAAAAUGUUGCUGCAAAAAAAUCACAAAAAAGUCGCGCAUCGAGCAUUUGGGAGAUGAUGAGGAGGAUAACGCGCUUUAGAUAUUUGAGAAAAGUAAAAAACUACCAGCGAGGUUUCCAGCAACUAAUUAUACGAUAUAUAAGUCAGAGGAACAUACAUUCAGAUACAUACAUACAUUAUAGAUAAUCAGAUUUGUAAACUCCGCUCUUCACGAACCCCAUACGAACUUUUCUAUGAUAAAACUCUCUCUAUCUCUAGACCUUUAUAUUGUUUCCACUGCUCUCCUUCAGCAAGACAUUAAAGUUGCUUUGACUACUCAGCAAUCCAGCAAAAGGACGAACAGAAAUACAAAACUUCGGCCAGGUCGACGUUUUAAUGCCCUUUCCGGAAUCAAUUGGUUUAAAAAAGAUACAAAUUGCUGAAGAAAAGUGCUAUAAGAAUAUUUCGUAGUGGGCAUUCCAACCGUACAGUCAUACCAGAAAUUCUUAUUAGGAUUCCUAUAGAAUUCGUUACAUUUAAGUCACAACAAAGACAAAAGCAUAUAGAAAAUGUUAAUGAAGCAAAUGAUAUAUUAUGGCAAGUUAUUUCAAAGGCAACCAAUACAAGAAACAAAAUGCUAUUUACUAAGUUCAAUUCGAAUGACAGGCGACGUUAAUACACGAUACACAAGAUCAACAACACGAGAAUAUAUCAUUUAUUGCAAAUGUUGAACAAAAUUGAUUAAAAAGGCAAAGGACUGCGCUCUCGUUGGGCGCCCCGAACACCUUAUAUUGUAUUUUAAUAUCUCGACAACAAUCGAAGGUCGAGAAACGACAAUAAACUGUGAAAUGAAUAUGUAAAAA
Drosophila simulans is the source of this 13246-nucleotide RNA transcript. It is a transcript of the gene named regulating synaptic membrane exocytosis protein 2, with no coding region annotated. NCBI's taxonomy places the organism in Eukaryota, Metazoa, Arthropoda, Insecta, Diptera, Drosophilidae. The record is from RefSeq and is a predicted model, not a curated record. The transcript has 24 exons.